GGAAACGCUACCUGAUAAAGCCCUGGAACCAAAGACCACCAGGAAUACGUCUGUAAUUAAACAAAUUUGAUUCAUUACCUCACUGCGGCAAAGAAGGACGUACCAGAGGAAACGUGAAGCAUCUUGUUGCAUUUGUAAUCAAGGAUGGAGUCAACCAAUGCCGCUUGAGCAGACAUACCAGCAUAACCUCAAAAAUAGUAAGAAACACUAACCAAAUGAGAGUUUUGUUUAAAUUAAAAAUUAAGGACGUUGACUCUAAUAGAGGCUACAACUACAAGAUGAAAAACCUGACGCUCAGAAUGAUGGAUUAUUACCAAAAGGUGGAGACAGAAAAUAUAUAAAUAUUGAAGAUGAUUUCAGAUGGCAAAAAGCACAGUAAAGAACGUUAGAGAUUGGAUAGGCUGGAGGACUCCUCGUGAAGAUGACAUACGAGGUUUCUCCAUAGGAAGACAAGGAAGAGAUAUUAGUCACAACAAAUGUUUUCCUGUAUGUUUUCUGUGAAUAAUAUAGAAUUGCUAUCCAGCAAACGUGACUACCUACAACUUACCAGGUUAACCUCCUUACACUCUGGACCACCAAGGAAGUCUGUCUCCUGAAAACACCUCUGCAUGUCUUGGAAGCACAAAUAAGGAAGGUGACAUGGAGAAAAAAUUUCUUGAUGACAAUAGAGCAAGAUGUGGGGACUGCUAUUUUCCAUAUCAUUCAGUAGAGUCGUUCAGUAGAUUUCUUUCUUUCUCCAAACUUUGCAAAAAUACUGAUUAAUUUACCAAUUAAAUCACUUUCCCCCCUAACUUUAUGCAAGUUUGCAAUGAAUUUCUGUAAUUAAAGUGUUUUAUAUCUAAAAGUUAUUUCACUGCAUGUUCUUAGAGGUAAUAUGUGCAGGAAAGUGGCCAUUUAAAGUAAGGCAGUUCCAAUUAUAAUGAUCCACUAAUGUUUAAUGAUAAAAACACAAAAUAGUCUAACAACAUUUUAGCACUAUUGGUACCAUGCCAACCAAAUACAUGAUAUUUUGAAAAGCCCAUUUAAUCAACUGCUCUAAGCAUUGAAUUCAUACCAUACACCAGUGGAUCUCAAUCUGUCUUGGGCUAAAGAUUCACUUGGGUUGCUGGCUUAAAAUGAAGAUUCCUGAUUGUCCCAUGAUUCCUUUCUUAGUAUGUAUGAGGUGACUUCAAUAAACCUGUAUUUUUAACAAGGCUUCCCUGGAGAUUAUGGUGCAGGAAAUUAUAUGCCCACUCACACUUUGGAAACCACUGCCAUUCUCCAACUUGUCAUGUAGCAGGAUAAAGAUGACUGUUAUGAACGAGUAGCCAGGUUGCAUUAAGGGAAAUUUCCUCAGAGAUUUUGUGUUUGUAUCGGUGCAAAGACCAUUGCAUAUGCCACUACAGAGAGAAAGAAGUUAAGAAUAAUAUGUGAAAUCUCAGUGUAAAUGAACAUAAAGGCUUAGGAAUUUGUUUUAAUACAUACAAAUUAGCAUCUAUGAGUGAUUUAAAAGAUGCCCAAUUCAUCCACAUACUGCAGAGCUGAAAAGAGAAGCCUAUAACUUUAAU
This 1547-nucleotide long non-coding RNA is filed under the name Equus caballus (horse). RNAcentral describes it as "lncRNA (ENSECAG00000048762.1)". Lineage: Eukaryota; Metazoa; Chordata; Mammalia; Perissodactyla; Equidae. The record is from RNAcentral.